RNAcentral lists this ribosomal RNA (444 nucleotides) under uncultured bacterium. RNAcentral describes it as "SSU rRNA". It matches the Rfam family "Bacterial small subunit ribosomal RNA", at positions 26 to 518 of the family's 1533-position model. The record is from RNAcentral.
AGAACGAACGCUGGCGGCAGGCCUAACACAUGCAAGUCGAACGCUCUCGCAAGAGAGAGUGGCGCACGGGUGCGUAACGCGUGGGAAUCUACCCUUGACUACGGAACAACGUCGGGAAACUGACGCUAAUACCGUAUAAUGACUCCGGUCCAAAGAUUUAUCGGUCAGGGAUGAGCCCGCGUUAGAUUAGCUAGUUGGUGAGGUAAUGGCUCACCAAGGCUACGAUCUAUAGCUGGUCUGAGAGGAUGAUCAGCCACACUGGGACUGAGACACGGCCCAGACUCCUACGGGAGGCAGCAGUGAGGAAUAUUGGACAAUGGGGGCAACCCUGAUCCAGCCAUGCCGCGUGAGUGAUGAAGGCCUUCGGGUUGUAAAACUCUUUUGGCGGGACGAUGAUGACGGUACCCGCAGAAUAAGCCCGGCUAACUUCGUGCCAGCAGCCGC